This is a long non-coding RNA of Fundulus heteroclitus (mummichog), 1099 nucleotides long. RefSeq lists it as uncharacterized. Lineage: Eukaryota; Metazoa; Chordata; Actinopteri; Cyprinodontiformes; Fundulidae. The record is from RefSeq and is a predicted model, not a curated record. The transcript has 2 exons.
UUCGAACCUGUGAAAUUCAUCACUGUUGUUGAUUCACCAGUACCUCCUGUCCAGCAACCUGUUCCACCUGCAGACCUACCUGAAGUUCCUGAUCAACCCCCAUCCUCUGCUGCAGAAGAGGAACAGGAGCUCCCAGUCGUCACAGAGGAACCAAAGGAAUUUCAACCUGUGGACAGAGAGGCGGUAAACAUCAGUUCAAAAACUAAUGAUUCUCCAGGAGAUGCUGCUGGAGAUCCUGCUGCUGAGGGAGGUCCUGUUCCUGAACCUGUCACUCCAGAGCCCUCCACCAAUGAUAUGGAACCAGAAGAGGACUUAAUUGUUCAAACAGAAUCAUCAAGUCCCGAAACAGAAUCAUCAAGUCCCGAAACAGAACCAUCGAGUCCUGAGGGAGAACCAUCUUUGCGGAGGUCAACCCGAGCAAGAAGACCACCAGAACGUUUACAGUACUCCCAACUCGGUCACCCGCUGUUGAAGAGUAUCCAGUUGUUGUUUCAUGGAUUGACCACUGCAUUUACACAUGCUCUUGAAGGGAUUGAGGAUGAUGAACACAUGACUGUUCCUGGUAUUAUCCAGCCAGCCAUCCAGACUCAACCUGGUCCAUGUACGGGGACGUGCAUGGGAUCAGGGGGGGAACAUGUAACCCACGUGACCGCCACGCCCCAACCACCUUCCCUUUAAGCCGUCCCUUUAACAGCUGGGAACCUCAUGUGUAUUUCCGGGUUUUCCACUGUGCUGCUGCUCACUGUUGGUUGUGGCGUCGGUUGUUAACAAAACAAUCUCAAAUCUCCAAAUCGACUCAUCGCUGAACAAAUUCAUUCCUAAAAUUCGAGGAUCUGCGGUGAGUUAAGUACCAUCUGAACUUAACGUUGUAUCAGCCAUACUAGCGCCGCUAAUAUAUCCGCCGUAAUACUCACCAGGUUGGGCUUUGUUGAUGCCUGAUUUACCUUCUGAUGAGAACAAGUAACAUCCACUUCCUCAGACAAUCCGUUACUCGACGGUCAGGUUUUUUUUCCUCCCCCUUCAACGGAGGAUGGCGAGCUACCCACACACCACCUGGUGGUAGGAAAAGAGACACUUUCCACACAUGAAACAAAAUAAA